ANGAGACUCUGACCAGCCAUGCCGCGUGCAGGAUGACGGCCCUCUGGGUUGUAAACUGCUUUUAUACGGGAAGAAAAAAUAGUACGUGUACUAUACUGACGGUACCGUAAGAAUAAGGAUCGGCUAACUCCGUGCCAGCAGCCGCGGUAAUACGGAGGAUCCAAGCGUUGUCCGGAUUUAUUGGGUUUAAAGGGUGCGUAGGCGGAUCUUUAAGUCAGUGGUGAAAGCCUGCAGCUUAACUGUAGAACUGCCAUUGAAACUGAAGAUCUUGAAUAUGGUUAAAGUAAGCGGAAUGUAUCAUGUAGCGGUGAAAUGCUUAGAUAUGAUACAGAACACCGAUAGCGAAGGCAGCUUGCUGAGCCAUUAUUGACGCUGAGGCACGAAAGCGUGGGGAGCAAACAGGAUUAGAUACCCUGGUAGUCCACGCCCUAAACGUUGAUUACUCGUUGUUGGCGAUAUACUGUCAGCGACUAAGCUAAAGCGUUAAGUAAUCCACCUGGGAAGUACGACCGCAAGGUUGAAACUCAAAGGAAUUGACGGGGGCCCGCACAAGCGGAGGAGCAUGUGGUUUAAUUCGAUGAUACGCGAGGAACCUUACCUGGGCUUGAAAGUUAGUGACCGCUCCUGAAAGGGAGCUUCUCUUCGGAGCACAAAACUAGGUGCUGCAUGGCUGUCGUCAGCUCGUGCCGUGAGGUGUUGGGUUAAGUCCCGCAACGAGCGCAACCCCUUUCUUUAGUUGCCAUCAGGUUAUGCUGGGGACUCUAGAGAUACUGCCUAUGUAAAUAGUGAGGAAGGUGGGGACGACGUCAAGUCAUCAUGGCCCUUACGUCCAGGGCUACACACGUGCUACAAUGGCAGUCACAAAUGGAUGCUACUUAGUAAUAAGAUGCUAAUCCCAAAAAGAUUGUCUCAGUUCGGAUUGAGGUCUGCNACUCGACCUCAUGA
RNAcentral lists this ribosomal RNA (945 nucleotides) under uncultured bacterium. Its description in RNAcentral is "bacterial SSU rRNA". It matches the Rfam family "Bacterial small subunit ribosomal RNA", at positions 375 to 1323 of the family's 1533-position model. The record is from RNAcentral.